AGAGAAGUUCCACACUGGCAGGAAUCCCUCCUGGCCAAAGGAGUUAUGUAACCUCUUUGCCCAGGAGGGAUUCCCUCCCAUCAAAGAGGUUACUUAC
Non-coding RNA from Puccinia sorghi, 97 nucleotides. Lineage: Eukaryota; Fungi; Basidiomycota; Pucciniomycetes; Pucciniales; Pucciniaceae. The record is from the annotation of a GenBank genome assembly.